Molecule: long non-coding RNA, 1291 nt
Filed under: Chloebia gouldiae (Gouldian finch)
Lineage: Eukaryota; Metazoa; Chordata; Aves; Passeriformes; Passeridae
Description: Erythrura gouldiae (Gouldian finch) lncRNA (ENSEGOG00005005289.1)
Source: RNAcentral
UCUGGGAGCUGUGGCAGGCAUGCCUGCCACACCAUGCAGCGUUUCUGCAGGCGAGGAGGCCUUUGAGAGGCCUGGAUAAUGGCUAAUAGUGCUGUUUUCCUCUGCUCUGCUUUCCUUCAAGUGAAUUACCAGGGUCUUGCUGGGAAUUAUCCUGCCAUUACCCAGCGCUCUGGGGAGCUGCCAGUGAUUUACUUAACAGCAAACAACACAAAGAGCCGGACACGGCGGGAGCUACACAAGCUGGGGAACGUGCAAGUGGAGUUCAGCCACAGCCAAAACAGCCGCGGAUAAAUUCCAGCACCCAAAUUCACAUCCUGGGGCAAAGCCUGUGCAGUUCAGCUGGGGAAUGGGAGCAGAUCCUGGCUGUGCUAAAGGAGCAGACCUCAGUCAGGGCAUGCUUGCUGCAGGAUGUGUGGGGUGCAGAAAGCAUUGGUGGGGACCCAUUGUCCCAGCCAGAGUGGACACGGCAUCUCUAGGGAGGGCCAGGAUGAUUUACAUCUCCAGACCCUAACCAAGGGCAUGUGAGGGGAGUUAAACAGCAGAUCCACAGGGGCUUGGCUGCCUCAUGUCUGCUGCAUCCUUCAGCACCCACUGCCCAGUCUGUGGAAGCUCUCAGCUGUGGAUUUUGAGUGUCCAGCCCAAGUGCUUCAUGAAUCUCACCUAGGCCCUCAUUGUGGGGCAGAAGUCAUCAGGGUCCCCAUUGCACCAAGGUGGCAAAAGUCCUUGAGCUGAGCUGCUGCAGGUGAGCAAUGUCCUCCUCAAACUGUGUCCCCAUCCCCUGAGUCACCUGGCUAGGGAGAGGGACUAUCAGUGUCCCAAAGCCUGCCUGGCUCUGCGUGGGAGAUACCUGCAAGGUGGGGCAGAAGCUGUAGGGAGACAAGAGGGACACAGUUUAGUGGUGGCUGUUCCUUGUCAUAUCCUCUUGGGACCCUGGGGAGGAUGAGGGCAGGCAGGGAUGGUGGCAUCUGCUGGAGGUGGGUCCCGCCUGGAGGCUUUCAUAGCAAGGAGUCCUGGCUUCAGUCUUCCCUGGCAGAUGGGAAAUACAGGAGAUAGGAAGCAAAACCAUUAGAAGGAAUAAUUUCCUCAAUAGCAGCCAGCAGUCCAUGACAGAGCUGUGACAUCCAACACUGGUGCUGCCCAGUUGUCUUUGCUGCUGUCUGUGGGCACCCUCCCAGCCUGGACUGUCCAGGAGCUGCCAUGUCCCACUCUGGUGGCUUUGCUACCCUGCAGUGCCAGUGCCUGGGACAGCAGUGCCACAUAGGGUUGGAAGUAACUACCCCAGCACUUCCAA